Molecule: ribosomal RNA, 490 nt
Filed under: uncultured bacterium
Lineage: Bacteria
Description: partial 16S ribosomal RNA
Rfam family: Bacterial small subunit ribosomal RNA
Source: RNAcentral
AUUGAACGCUGGCGGCAGGCCUAACACAUGCAAGUCGAACGGUAACAGGAAGCAGCUUGCUGCUUUGCUGACGAGUGGCGGACGGGUGAGUAAUGUCUGGGAAACUGCCCGAUGGAGGGGGAUAACUACUGGAAACGGUAGCUAAUACCGCAUAACGUCCCAAGACCAAAGAGGGGGACCUUAGGGCCUCUUGCCAUCGGAUGUGCCCAGAUGGGAUUAGCUAGUAGGUGGGGUAACGGCUCACCUAGGCGACGAUCCCUAGCUGGUCUGAGAGGAUGACCAGCCACACUGGAACUGAGACACGGUCCAGACUCCUACGGGAGGCAGCAGUGGGGAAUAUUGCACAAUGGGCGCAAGCCUGAUGCAGCCAUGCCGCGUGUAUGAAGAAGGCCUUCGGGUUGUAAAGUACUUUCAGCGGGGAGGAAGGGAGUAAAGUUAAUACCUUUGCUCAUUGACGUUACCCGAAGAAGAAGCACCGGCUAACUCCGUG